CCUACGGGAGGCAGCAGUGGGGAAUAUUGGACAAUGGGGGCAACCCUGAUCCAGCCAUGCCGCGUGUGUGAAGAAGGCCCUCGGGUUGUAAAGCACUUUCAGUGAGGAAGAACGCCUGGUGGUUAAUACCCAUCAGGAAAGACAUCACUCACAGAAGAAGCACCGGCUAACUCCGUGCCAGCAGCCGCGGUAAUACGGAGGGUGCGAGCGUUGAUCGGAAUUACUGGGCGUAAAGCGCGCGUAGGUGGCUUGAUAAGCCGGUUGUGAAAGCCCCGGGCUCAACCUGGGAACGGCAUCCGGAACUGUCAAGCUAGAGUGCAGGAGAGGAAGGUAGAAUUCCCGGUGUAGCGGUGAAAUGCGUAGAGAUCGGGAGGAAUACCAGUGGCGAAGGCGGCCUUCUGGACUGACACUGACACUGAGGUGCGAAAGCGUGGGUAGCAAACAGGAUUAGAUACCCGAGUAGUC
This 465-nucleotide ribosomal RNA is filed under the name Vreelandella stevensii. Its description in RNAcentral is "partial 16S ribosomal RNA". It matches the Rfam family "Bacterial small subunit ribosomal RNA", at positions 338 to 795 of the family's 1533-position model. The record is from RNAcentral. Lineage: Bacteria; Pseudomonadati; Pseudomonadota; Gammaproteobacteria; Oceanospirillales; Halomonadaceae.